UCUGCUACCACCGCUUAUGGAGGAAGACUUUGCUCAUGAAGAGCUUCACUUAGUUGUAGAUGCUACCCAUCACAUGGAGCACAUGGAGACCGAUGAAAUCACUUCUGGACUGCAAAAGGCAGAUCACCAUCAGAUGCUGAUCUCGACUUAGGGUUCUCCGAAGGAUAUAGAUUUUGACUGUUGAUAACAGGAUUGUGUGAUCAAAUCUUAUAUUCAUCAUAUAUUUUUAUAUAAAAAUUAGUUUAUUAAUGAAUCGAAUAGGCUUGGAUGCUGAGAUCCUGAUCAAAAUUUUGAACAAGAGGACCCCUUAGUUUCUUUUGAAUUGUGUUAAGAAUACUCCCGAUAAAUGUAUGGGGUGCAAAUUCUCUCAUGUAUUUUGAGAGGUUAAUAACAUUGCUCACUGGUUAGUACAA
This is a non-coding RNA of Musa acuminata subsp. malaccensis (wild Malaysian banana), 413 nucleotides long. Lineage: Eukaryota; Viridiplantae; Streptophyta; Magnoliopsida; Zingiberales; Musaceae. The record is from RefSeq and is a predicted model, not a curated record.